AUUCCUUACACUGGUUGUGUUAUAAAGAACAGCUGUGGAUCAGGGGGAAAUACACACAGUGGUGCAAGUUGAAACUUACAUUUUAAAGCUCCCACCAUCCAUACUUUUCUACAGAGCUUUCCAUCAAUGCUAGCAUCCGUCCUAUAUAACACACAACUUCUUGAAAGAACACAUUGGAGAGAAAGGAACCUCUGACCCAAGAGAAAAAAAAAGAACCUUUGUGUGCUGCUCUCUUGGGACAUGUGAUACCUUCUACAAGUUGCCCCUUUGAAAUUUUUUGUUUGAAACCAGUGUUGAUAUCUGCAAAAACUCUUAUUUUGCCAGCUGUAAAAGACUAUAUGUCUGAUGGCUGGGAUGUGUGUAAGGAGCUCUUGGCUGGAGAGUCUUUGGGGAGUUCAAGGAGAGCUGAGAGGCCUCGGACACCUCUCCAGUAUGCACUGAGGAAGGAGUCUCCAGAAUCAGUGGUGUACAGUAAGCAUAGGAAGACUUGCAUGCAUACAGCCCUGCUUUGUCUAACAGAAUAAAGGGGAGAUCAAAGUGUGUUUGUCUCAAACACUUUCGGAUAAAUUUGCCUUUAUGUUUAAUGCUAUAUGUAAAUACAUAUU
This is a long non-coding RNA of Gavialis gangeticus (Gharial), 605 nucleotides long. RefSeq lists it as uncharacterized. Lineage: Eukaryota; Metazoa; Chordata; Crocodylia; Gavialidae. The transcript is spliced from 2 exons. The record is from RefSeq and is a predicted model, not a curated record.